Molecule: transfer RNA, 73 nt
Filed under: Cordylochernes scorpioides
Lineage: Eukaryota; Metazoa; Arthropoda; Arachnida; Pseudoscorpiones; Chernetidae
Description: tRNA-Thr
Source: RNAcentral
GUCCAGGGGCGGGAAUCGAACCCACAACCUUCCGCUUACCGGGCAGAUGCCAUGUCCACUAGGUUACCCUGGA